Molecule: long non-coding RNA, 95 nt
Organism: Aricia agestis (brown argus)
Lineage: Eukaryota; Metazoa; Arthropoda; Insecta; Lepidoptera; Lycaenidae
Exons: 3
Source: RefSeq, a predicted model, not a curated record
CGCGGGCUUCAAGCCAGAAGGACGUAAAAAGAAACGUUUUUUUAAGAAGAAAAUAGAUCUCUACAACUGAAAAUUUGCACACUAUUUCUUGAAUC